UAGGGAAUUUUCGGCAAUGGGGGAAACCCUGACCGAGCAACGCCGCGUGAGUGAAGAAGGUCUUCGGAUUGUAAAGCUCUGUUGUAAGGGAAGAAAUGUACUGUGAGAAACAGUACUUGACGGUACCUUACCAGAAAGCUACGGCUAACUACGUGCCAGCAGCCGCGGUAAUACGUAGGUAGCGAGCGUUAUCCGGAAUUAUUGGGCGUAAAGGGUGCGUAGGCGGCCAUUUAAGUUCAUGGUGAAAGCGUGGGGCUCAACCCCAUAAAGCCAUGGAUACUGGAUGGCUGGAGUACUGGAGAGGGUAGUGGAAUUCCAUGUGUAGCGGUAAAAUGCGUAGAUAUAUGGAGGAACACCGGUGGCGAAGGCGGCUACCUGGACAGAGACUGACGCUGAGGCACGAAAGCGUGGGGAGCAAAUAGGA
Molecule: ribosomal RNA, 424 nt
Filed under: uncultured bacterium
Lineage: Bacteria
Description: bacterial SSU rRNA
Rfam family: Bacterial small subunit ribosomal RNA
Source: RNAcentral